UGAGGAAUAUUGGUCAAUGGACGCAAGUCUGAACCAGCCACGUCGCGUGAAGGAAGACGGCCCUACGGGUUGUAAACUUCUUUUGCAAGGGAAUAAAGUGGGGGACGUGUCCUCCUUUGCAUGUACCUUGCGAAUAAGGAUCGGCUAACUCCGUGCCAGCAGCCGCGGUAAUACGGAGGAUCCGAGCGUUAUCCGGAUUUCUUGGGUUGAAAGGGUGCGCAGGCGGGAUGUUAAGUCGGCGGUGAAAUUAUGCAGCUCAACUGUAAAAGUGCCUUCGAUACUGGCUUUCUUGAGUGUGGAUGAAGUAGGCGGAAUUUGUGGUGUAGCGGUGAAAUGCUUAGAUAUCACGAGGAACUCCGAUUGCGCAGGCAGCUUACCAAACCACUACUGACGCUCAUGCACGAAGGCGUGGGGAUCAAACAGG
This 424-nucleotide ribosomal RNA is filed under the name uncultured prokaryote. Its description in RNAcentral is "bacterial SSU rRNA". It matches the Rfam family "Bacterial small subunit ribosomal RNA", at positions 355 to 776 of the family's 1533-position model. The record is from RNAcentral. RNAcentral also lists the same sequence under 1 other name.